ACACAGUCAAGAAUUGUGAUAAAUGUUGAUCUGGAUUGGCUCUUGGUAAACCUCUAAAAGUAGGUAAUGGAGCCACGCUAGUUGUGCGAUCUCCCGCCGCACCCAUUUGGAUUGUAAUUGGAACUGCUGGUCCUCCGGAUGCCAUUAAAGAUGCCAGUGUUUUGCUCAAUUCUUUAUUAAAAUAAAAAUUGUCUCCUACAAAAGUUUUUUUUGGACUUCCACGCCUUUCC
Molecule: long non-coding RNA, 230 nt
Filed under: Physcomitrium patens
Lineage: Eukaryota; Viridiplantae; Streptophyta; Bryopsida; Funariales; Funariaceae
Description: long non-coding RNA (PPAT_LNC007026)
Source: RNAcentral